This 253-nucleotide ribosomal RNA is filed under the name uncultured bacterium. RNAcentral describes it as "partial 16S ribosomal RNA". It matches the Rfam family "Bacterial small subunit ribosomal RNA", at positions 524 to 776 of the family's 1533-position model. The record is from RNAcentral.
UACGGGGGGGGCAAGCGUUGUUCGGAAUUAUUGGGCGUAAAGGGCGCGUAGGCGGCUUGACAAGUCAAAGGUGAAAUCCCUCGGCUCAACUGAGGAACUGCCUUUGAAACUGUCUGGCUUGAGGCCGGGAGGGGGUAGCGGAAUUCCCAGUGUAGCGGUGAAAUGCGUAGAUACUGGGAGGAACACCAGUGGCGAAGGCGGCUACCUGGACCGGUUCUGACGCUGAGGCGCGAAAGCGUGGGUAGCAAACAGG